UACGUAGGGGGCAAGCGUUGUCCGGAAUCAUUGGGCGUAAAGAGCGUGUAGGCGGCUCGAUAAGUCUGCUGUGAAAGUCCAGGGCUCAACCCUGGAAGGCCGGUGGAAACUGUCGGGCUAGAGUCCGGAAGAGGCGAGUGGAAUUCCUGGUGUAGCGGUGAAAUGCGCAGAUAUCAGGAGGAACACCAGUAGCGAAGGCGGCACUCUGGGCCGGUACUGACGCUGAGGAGCGAAAGCGUGGGGAGCGAACAGG
Molecule: ribosomal RNA, 253 nt
Filed under: uncultured bacterium
Lineage: Bacteria
Description: partial 16S ribosomal RNA
Rfam family: Bacterial small subunit ribosomal RNA
Source: RNAcentral